AGCGAACGCUGGCGGCAGGCCUAACACAUGCAAGUCGAACGAACUCUUCGGAGUUAGUGGCGGACGGGUGAGUAACACGUGGGAACGUGCCUUUUGGUUCGGAAUAACUCAGGGAAACUUGUGCUAAUACCGAAUGUGCCCGUCGGGGGAAAGAUUUAUCGCCAUUAGAGCGGCCCGCGUCUGAUUAGCUAGUUGGUGAGGUAACGGCUCACCAAGGCGCCGAUCAUUAGCUGGUCUGAGAGGAUACCCAGCCACACUGGGACUGGGACACGCCCCAGACCCCAACGGGGGCAAGCGUGGGGGAUAUUGCCCCAUUGGGCGAAACCCUGCCCCACCCUUGCCCGGUAAAUGAUAAAGGUUUUAGGUUUUUAAAUUUUUUUCCCCGGGACCCACAUUGGCGGACCCCGGGAAAAAACCCCCGGUAACUUUCGG
Molecule: ribosomal RNA, 432 nt
Filed under: uncultured bacterium
Lineage: Bacteria
Description: partial 16S ribosomal RNA
Rfam family: Bacterial small subunit ribosomal RNA
Source: RNAcentral